AGGUGAUGAAUUGAUUAUUUGCAGUUAAUCGGUAUUAACAACUAUUUAUUUGCUACUCAACACUGGAUGGAAGUGACUGAGCGGGAUUCAAGUGCUAAGGAGUGGGCGAAUGUAAAAGGGGAAACGGCAUAAGAAGAAAAAUCAAUAGGAAUCUGUCGUAGUUGUAGUCAAAGUUGAGUGCAACGGAAAAUUUUGCUUUGUGCCAAAAGUAGCCAAAGUGCCGAGUAAUGUGUAA
Molecule: long non-coding RNA, 235 nt
Organism: Drosophila innubila
Lineage: Eukaryota; Metazoa; Arthropoda; Insecta; Diptera; Drosophilidae
Exons: 2
Source: RefSeq, a predicted model, not a curated record